Molecule: ribosomal RNA, 252 nt
Filed under: uncultured bacterium
Lineage: Bacteria
Description: partial 16S ribosomal RNA
Rfam family: Bacterial small subunit ribosomal RNA
Source: RNAcentral
GACGAGGGGUCCUAGCGUUGUUCGGAAUCACUGGGCGUAAAGCGUAUGUAGGCGGCUCUCUAAGUCGGUCGUGAAAUCCCAUGGCUUACCAUGGAAUUGCGUUCGAAACUGGAGAGCUUGAGUGUGGGAGAGAUUGGUAGAAUACCUGGUGUAGUGGUGAAAUACGUAGAUAUCAGGUGGAAUACCGGUGGCGAAGGCGGCCAAUUGGCCCAACACUGACGCUGAGAUACGAAAGCGUGGGGAGCAAACAGG